CAGUAGCCGCGGUAAUACAGAGGGUGCGAGCGUUAAUCGGAUUUACUGGGCGUAAAGCGUGCGUAGGCGGCUUCUUAAGUCGGAUGUGAAAUCCCUGAGCUUAACUUAGGAAUUGCAUUCGAUACUGGGAAGCUAGAGUAUGGGAGAGGAUGGUAGAAUUCCAGGUGUAGCGGUGAAAUGCGUAGAGAUCUGGAGGAAUACCGAUGGCGAAGGCAGCCAUCUGGCCUAAUACUGACGCUGAGGUACGAAAGCAUGGGGAGCAAACAGGAUUAGAGACCCCGUAGUCCCUGUCUCUUAUACC
This 301-nucleotide ribosomal RNA is filed under the name uncultured bacterium. Its description in RNAcentral is "partial 16S ribosomal RNA". It matches the Rfam family "Bacterial small subunit ribosomal RNA", at positions 509 to 808 of the family's 1533-position model. The record is from RNAcentral.